UGGGGAAUUUUGGACAAUGGGGGAAACCCUGAUCCAGCCAUCCCGCGUGUGCGAUGAAGGCCUUCGGGUUGUAAAGCACUUUUGGCAGGAAAGAAACGUCGCGGGUUAAUACCCCGCGAAACUGACGGUACCUGCAGAAUAAGCACCGGCUAACUACGUGCCAGCAGCCGCGGUAAUACGUAGGGUGCAAGCGUUAAUCGGAAUUACUGGGCGUAAAGCGUGCGCAGGCGGUUCGGAAAGAAAGAUGUGAAAUCCCAGAGCUUAACUUUGGAACUGCAUUUUUAACUACCGGGCUAGAGUGUGUCAGAGGGAGGUGGAAUUCCGCGUGUAGCAGUGAAAUGCGUAGAUAUGCGGAGGAACACCGAUGGCGAAGGCAGCCUCCUGGAUAACACUGAGCUCAUGCACGAAAGCGUGGGGAGCAAAACAGGAUUAGAUACCCUGGU
RNAcentral lists this ribosomal RNA (443 nucleotides) under uncultured bacterium. RNAcentral's name for it is "partial 16S ribosomal RNA". It matches the Rfam family "Bacterial small subunit ribosomal RNA", at positions 355 to 791 of the family's 1533-position model. The record is from RNAcentral.